This 523-nucleotide long non-coding RNA is filed under the name Chrysemys picta bellii (western painted turtle). Its description in RNAcentral is "lncRNA (ENSCPBG00000010566.1)". The record is from RNAcentral. Lineage: Eukaryota; Metazoa; Chordata; Testudines; Emydidae.
UGGCUGCUGGCACGGCGCCCGGGUGAAUGAGGAGAAACCCCAGCAGAUGCCAUGUGAAUAAGUGCAAAGGAAUGUGAGGGGGGAGCUGUGCAAACCAGCCAGGCAGGAAACAGCCACCAUUUCAGAACCGGUUUUGAUCAGAAACAUCCAGGAGAGAAUUUCAUCAAAAAAAAAAAAACCCAACUGGAAUAAGGGAAACCAAACCAACUUUGAAGUGUCAGAGAGUCUCACAAAAUGAUUUCCCGACAGGCUGCUUCGACAUUUUCGGAAGCACUUUGGGGUCGGGACUGUUCUUCUGUCUCUGUUUGUACAGCGCCUAGCACAGUGGGGGUCUGGUCCGCGGCUGGGGCUCAAAUCAUGAGCCCGCUCCGUGGAUCUCAGCUGGUAUCCCCUGCGUGUCUGGCAGAUCCGGAGCAUGAAGGGAGAUCUGCACUAAACGUGAAGAAGGCCUGGAAGGGAGAGACGUCCUUGGGCUGCUGCUCGGGAGUAACCUGCCGUCCCCCUCACUGCUGCUGCCGCACCG